RNAcentral lists this ribosomal RNA (433 nucleotides) under uncultured bacterium. RNAcentral describes it as "partial 16S ribosomal RNA". It matches the Rfam family "Bacterial small subunit ribosomal RNA", at positions 29 to 507 of the family's 1533-position model. The record is from RNAcentral.
AACGAACGCUGGCGGCAUGCCUAACACAUGCAAGUCGAACGAGACCUUCGGGUCUAGUGGCGCACGGGUGCGUAACGCGUGGGAACCUGCCCUUAGGUUCGGAAUAACUCCCCGAAAGGGGUGCUAAUACCGGAUAAUGUCUUCGGACCAAAGAUUUAUCGCCUUUGGAUGUGCCCGCGUUGGAUUAGCUAGUUGGUAGGGUAAAAGCCUACCAAGGCGACGAUCCAUAGCUGGUUUGAGAGGAUGAUCAGCCACACUGGGACUGAGACACGGCCCAGACUCCUACGGGAGGCAGCAGUGGGGAAUAUUGGACAAUGGGCGAAAGCCUGAUGCAGCAAGGCCGCGUGAGUGAUGAAGGCCUUAGGGUUGUAAAGCUCUUUUACCCGGGAUGAUAAUGACAGUACCGGGAGAAUAAGCUCCGGCUAACUCCGUG